Molecule: ribosomal RNA, 837 nt
Filed under: Pasteurella atlantica
Lineage: Bacteria; Pseudomonadati; Pseudomonadota; Gammaproteobacteria; Pasteurellales; Pasteurellaceae
Also listed under: 1 other name
Description: bacterial SSU rRNA
Rfam family: Bacterial small subunit ribosomal RNA
Source: RNAcentral
UAAUUGAAGAGUUUGAUCAUGGCUCAGAUUGAACGCUGGCGGCAGGCUUAACACAUGCAAGUCGAACGGUAACAGGAGAAAGCUUGCUUUCUUGCUGACGAGUGGCGGACGGGUGAGUAAUGCUUGGGAAUCUGCCUUGUGGAGGGGGAUAACUACGGGAAACUGUAGCUAAUACCGCGUAAUAUCGAAAGAUUAAAGUAUGGGAUCUUCGGACCAUAUACCACGAGAUGAGCCCAAGUGAGAUUAGGUAGUUGGUGAGGUAAAGGCUCACCAAGCUGACGAUCUCUAGCUGGUUUGAGAGGAUGACCAGCCACACUGGAACUGAGACACGGUCCAGACUCCUACGGGAGGCAGCAGUGGGGAAUAUUGCACAAUGGGGGAAACCCUGAUGCAGCCAUGCCGCGUGAAUGAAGAAGGCUUUCGGGUUGUAAAGUUCUUUCAGCGAUGAGGAAGGGUUUGUAUCUAAUAGGUGCAAACAUUGACGUUAGUCGCAGAAGAAGCACCGGCUAACUCCGUGCCAGCAGCCGCGGUAAUACGGAGGGUGCGAGCGUUAAUCGGAAUAACUGGGCGUAAAGGGCACGCAGGCGGUUGUCUAAGUCAGAUGUGAAAGCCCCGAGCUUAACUUGGGAAUUGCAUUUGAGACUGGGCGACUAGAGUCCUCUAGGGAGGGGUAGAAUUCCACGUGUAGCGGUGAAAUGCGUAGAGAUGUGGAGGAAUACCGAAGGCGAAGGCAGCCCCUUGGAGAGAGACUGACGCUGAGGUGCGAAAGCGUGGGUAGCAAACAGGAUUAGAUACCCUGGUAGUCCACGCUGUAAACGAUGUCAAUUUGGGGGUUGG